GAGCCCGACUGCGCGGCUUCCUCCCGCUGCGUCGGCCUCCUGACCCUGGCCCACCUAGGUCCGGGAGCCAAAGCGCUGCCUCGCGAAAGCUACACAGCCUGCGAGGUCCCCAGUAAUCUUCCGCAACCCAGGUCCCGGCCAACGAGACAAUACCGUUGCCAUGGGAACGGAACGCUACGGGUUAUGCAGGGAGCGCUUGUAGCCAUGGCGACGCGGGGCACUUCCGGUUCGGAGAGUCCCUGUUGGCUAGCCCCUACAGCAGUUCUUACCGUACCCUCCGCUUUCCCGUCCCCGCAGGCUAGACGCGAACGGCCUCCGGCUCGCUCCAAAACUGGCCUCUGCAUAUUGUAUCUCACGAGACCUUACCCCUCGGAGGUGAAGGAGUAGGAAGAGAAGAUACAUUCGGUCCAUGGAUGGAAGGGAGCGCCGGGCCCCACGGCCCUACAUAUUUAAAGCUGCGACGUGUGCGGGCUGUAUUCGGCGACGAUCCCUGGCUACGGUGCACCCCCACAGCUCUUCGGGAGUUUUGUUUUUAUGGACCCCAGAGGAAAGGCUUAUAUAUGGCUGUUGACUGUGCUGGCACCGUCUGUGUUACCCAGUAAGAUUGGAGCUAGGCAUGGUUAGGAAAGCUGAUUGCAGGAACUCUAGGAUGGAAGUUUAAUUGCCGUUGAUCCAAGACUGCCAAGAAAGCCUUUUUGGAGUUAGGUUGGAGGAGUUAUUUAAAUGAGUUUGCUUGAAUAUCUCUGAAGUAAAACCUGUAUGGUCUGUUAACUCAAGAUUUAAAUCUGUACUUUCCAGCUCCAUAGUCACAAUUUUGGAAAGAUUCCCCCACUUUAUUCUUUUUCCUAAGAAAUCUCUCAGCAUGGAACAAUGAUGACAGCAAUGAACUUGAUUUCAGAAUGUCAAGGUUCUGGUUUUGACGCUGUAGCCUGGGCCGAGUCACGGCCAGUGGGUCCCAAUUUUCUUGCCUAUACGGUGAAAGUAUUUGUACCACUUGCUUUCUGAAGCGCCUUCUGGUUCCAGGUUUCUGUAAGGGGUAAACGAUUUUUGUGACCCUAUGAACAGUAUUUAACAUGUAUGGGAGUAAAAAGGAAGAAACUGUUUCCUGUUCUCCAACAUUUAUUUCUCUUACCCCUUGUUAAGUUGGUCAUCAAAUUGAAAGGUUUUAAUGUUCUUUCAUUCUAGGAAAUGGCUGUGAGAUUGUUUCUAAGUAUAUUAAAGGUAAUGUCUCUUUUCUAAACCUUUGCUUUUGCUGAUAAUUGUGAAGGGAAGUGGAACCAGAACAGGCACUGAAUUGCCAUUCCUAAAGCCAACGCUCUAAUUCGGCCUCCAUUUCAUUAGCUCUGACCAGAAGUAUGUUGCCUGCAUCUGUAAAAAUUAUAAAUCAAAAUAAAAUAACUUUGGCGA
Molecule: long non-coding RNA, 1407 nt
Organism: Pongo pygmaeus (Bornean orangutan)
Lineage: Eukaryota; Metazoa; Chordata; Mammalia; Primates; Hominidae
Exons: 2
Source: RefSeq, a predicted model, not a curated record